GACGAACGCUGGCGGCGUGCUUAACACAUGCAAGUCGAACGGAAAGGCCCUGCUUUUGUGGGGUGCUCGAGUGGCGAACGGGUGAGUAACACGUGAGUAACCUGCGCUUGACUUUGGGAUAACUUCAGGAAACUGGGGCUAAUACCGGAUAGGAGCUCCUGCUGCAUGGUGGGGGUUGGAAAGUUUCGGCGGUUGGGGAUGGACUCGCGGCUUAUCAGCUUGUUGGUGGGGUAGUGGCUUACCAAGGCUUUGACGGGUAGCCGGCCUGAGAGGGUGAACGGGCACAUUGGGACUAAGAUACGGCGCAGACGCCUACGGGAGGCAGCAGGGGGGAAUAUUGCACAGUGGGCGGAAGCCUGAGGCAGAAACGCCGCGGGCGGGAUGACGGCCUUCGGGGUGUAAACCGCUUUCGCCUGUGACGAAGCGUGAGUGACGGUAAUGGGUAAAGAAGCACCGGCUAACUACGUG
This 468-nucleotide ribosomal RNA is filed under the name uncultured bacterium. RNAcentral describes it as "partial 16S ribosomal RNA". It matches the Rfam family "Bacterial small subunit ribosomal RNA", at positions 28 to 507 of the family's 1533-position model. The record is from RNAcentral.